UCCCUGCUAGCUCAGUUGGUAAAGAAUCUGCCUGCAAUGCAGGAAACCCAGGUUCAAUUCCUGGGUCAGGAA
Molecule: transfer RNA, 72 nt
Filed under: Bos taurus (domestic cattle)
Lineage: Eukaryota; Metazoa; Chordata; Mammalia; Artiodactyla; Bovidae
Also listed under: 5 other names
Rfam family: tRNA
About the family: Transfer RNA (tRNA) molecules are approximately 80 nucleotides in length. Their secondary structure includes four short double-helical elements and three loops (D, anti-codon, and T loops). Further hydrogen bonds mediate the characteristic L-shaped molecular structure. tRNAs have two regions of fundamental functional importance: the anti-codon, which is responsible for specific mRNA codon recognition, and the 3' end, to which the tRNAs corresponding amino acid is attached (by aminoacyl-tRNA synthetases). tRNAs cope with the degeneracy of the genetic code in two manners: having more than one tRNA (with a specific anti-codon) for a particular amino acid; and 'wobble' base-pairing, i.e. permitting non-standard base-pairing at the 3rd anti-codon position.
Source: Rfam by way of RNAcentral